GAUGAACGCUGGCGGCGCGCCUAACACAUGCAAGUCGAACGAUUAAAGCACCUUCGGGUGUGUAUAAAGUGGCGAACGGCUGAGUAACACGUGGGCAACCUGCCCCUUUCAUUGGGAUAGCCACGGGAAACCGUGGAUAAUACCGAAUACUUCGAGACUUCCGCAUGGAAGACUCGAGAAAGCUCCGGCGGAGAGGGAUGGGCCCGCGGCCUGUUAGCUUGUUGGUGGGGUAACGGCCUACCAAGGCAAUGAUGGGUAGCUGGGUUGAGAGACCGACCAGCCAGAUUGGGACUGAGACACGGCCCAGACUCCUACGGGAGGCAGCAGUGGGGAAUCUUGCACAAUGGGCGAAAGCCUGAUGCAGCGACGCCGCGUGCGGGAUGAAGGCCUUCGGGUUGUAACCCGCUUUCAGCAGGGACGAGGCGAAAGUGACGGUACCUGCAGAAGAAGCCCCGGCUAACUACGUG
Molecule: ribosomal RNA, 467 nt
Filed under: uncultured bacterium
Lineage: Bacteria
Description: partial 16S ribosomal RNA
Rfam family: Bacterial small subunit ribosomal RNA
Source: RNAcentral